GAAAUGCGAUAAGUAAUGUGAAUUGCAUAAUUCAGUGAAUCAUCGAAUCUUUGAACGCACCUUGCGCUCCUUGGUAUUCCUUGGAGCAUGCCUGUUUGAGUAUCAUGAAAUCUUCAAAGUAAAUCUUUUGUUAACUCAAUUGGUUUCUACUUUGGUAUUGGAGGUCUUUGCAGCUUCACACCUGCUCCUCUUUGUUCAUUAGCUGGAUCUCAGUGUUAUGCUUGGUUCCACUCGGCGUGAUAAGUUAUCUAUCGCUGAGGACACUGUAAAAGGUGGCCAAGGUAAAUGCAGAUGAACCGCUUCUAAUAGUCCAUUGACUUGGACAAUACUUUUAUGAUCUGAUCUCAAAUCAGGUAGGACUACCCGCUGAACUUAAGC
Molecule: unclassified non-coding RNA, 378 nt
Filed under: plant metagenome
Description: partial contains 5.8S ribosomal RNA, internal transcribed spacer 2, and large subunit ribosomal RNA
Rfam family: 5.8S ribosomal RNA (bases 1-105)
Source: RNAcentral